Non-coding RNA from Cygnus olor (mute swan), 1929 nucleotides. Lineage: Eukaryota; Metazoa; Chordata; Aves; Anseriformes; Anatidae. The record is from the annotation of a RefSeq genome assembly.
CUGCCAAAGGAUGUGUACAGCACAGCUCUGUAUGGCACAGCAGAGCUCUGUGCCUACUCAGCAAACAGGAGGGUCGGUCUCAGCAUGUACCGCGGGUAUCUCGUCCUCACUGCCUUCCUGGGGCAACUGCUGGAAACCAUGGGUCAGGUGUCUGUCACCCAGCAAGAAGGACAAGUCACCGUGGAGCAGAGAAACAUCUUCCAGACCACUUGCACGUACCAGAGCUCCAGCUUUUAUGGUUUGCUCUGGUACCAGCAGAAGAAGGGCCAAGGCCCUCAGCUAAUUUCAAAUCAAGCAAUAGCAGGCACCAAGCAGAGCGUCCGUUUCACCACAGAGCUGAACAUCAUGAGGAAAUACAGUGUUCUGCAGCUGAAAGAAGUUGAGCUCUCUGACAGCGCCUUGUACCUCUGUGCUGUGCGUGACACCCUGGUGCAGAGAGGUACCCUGGUUGAGCAAUAACCCUGAGAAGGGAGGGGAUGUGUCUGUGCAAGGCAGAGCUCUGGGGUGGGGCCCUCAGUUCUCCCCUGGCAGCGCUCUUCCCCUGUUCACCCCAAUAUCUGCCAGCCAUAUUCUCUUUCCCAAAGGGGCUGGUGUCUGUGGCUGUGCAGAGAGUGCUGACCCUGACUGCCUGACCUGGACCUCAGUUUUUCUCCCUUCCUGGGCUCCCAGAGUAGAGCAGUCUGCUGGGAACCAGGACUUACACAGUGGUUGCUCUCAGACCUUCAGGACCAGGGUGAAUAAAUUCCUGCCAGUGCAUGAUAAAGCAGCUUACCUCAAGUCCUAGCUAGCCCAGCCCAGAGACCCCUAGUAGACGUUCUGACAGAGAUUUGCAGGGUUCUUUUCUCUCUUCAAUGAGUCAGUAAAUGAACUGGAUUUGCGUCCCAGCCACCAGGUUAUCUCCAGACCUUCAGCCAGUUCAUGUCCAAAGCCUGUGCCUAAGGGACAGAACAAACAGAGCAGCCCUUAGUGCCAAAGGCCCAAGAGCUCUCCAUGUUCAUCACAGUAAGCGAUUAGAGCAAGAGAUAAAUGAAGACCUACAGCCCACUGAGUUCAUUGACGUCUCCUCAGGGGAGCUGGGGAAAUCUAUCAUCCACAUCUCCUGCACAGGGAGCAGUAUCGUAGCAACCAUCUCCCACAGUAGUGGGGGAUUGCAUGUCUGGGACAAGCCAGGUGUCCUGCAGGCUGCAAAUGCUGAGACCGGGCAGGAGAAACAUGGCUGUGCUGAUGAAGCCUCCUCUGUCUCACAAACCAUGCUGAAUGUGGUGUUUUGAUGUCCUCAGACUCAAUGAAACUCUUCUGUCUGCUUGCAAGAGCAAGAAGCAAAGCAACCCAGAGGAAGAAAAGUUCAGCCCAGGCAGCUCCCAGCAGGUGGCAUCCAUGAGCUCUCUUCUCCUCUGUGCUCUCAGGGAAGGCAGCGCAAGACUCAGCCUUGGUCGAGGCCUGAGGAGAGGUUCCCCCAUCCUCACCCCGUGGACCAAUAACCCCAUCCUCCAUCCUGUUCCUGUGGCACUGGCAGCGUGAACAGUCUGUGUGAAAGCAAAGCACCACAGGGCUCCGAGGUGUGCAGAUGUGGGAAGGCCCUGGCCUGGGUGUGGGGAGCAGAGGUGCUGCAUGGAGCACAAGGGCAACUUCAUCCUCACAAAGACAGAGUAGCUUAGUGCUCAGGAGAAGCAUGUGCCCUGUGGUUGGGCUGGUGCAUGCCCUGUGCCGUUCAGAGCCUGUACACAGAGCCUGCUGAGUGCACAGUCAGGUCCCAUUCUCACUGCUAUGUCUCAGUGGUGCCUGGGAUUUUUGCACUCACAGAAUGUCUUUUCUGGAGCACAGUGUGGUUGUGGCACCUAUGGGGCCUUUGAGUUUCUUGGCCUGAUGAAAGCUGAUCCAUGCUUGGGGAAAGAAAGCAAGACCGAACAGCCAUGAGUGUUUGGGCAC